This 77-nucleotide transfer RNA is filed under the name Pseudothauera rhizosphaerae. RNAcentral describes it as "Azoarcus sp. CC-YHH848 tRNA-Pro". It matches the Rfam family "tRNA". From Rfam's summary of the family: Transfer RNA (tRNA) molecules are approximately 80 nucleotides in length. Their secondary structure includes four short double-helical elements and three loops (D, anti-codon, and T loops). Lineage: Bacteria; Pseudomonadati; Pseudomonadota; Betaproteobacteria; Rhodocyclales; Zoogloeaceae. The record is from RNAcentral.
CCGUCUGUAGCGCAGUCCGGUAGCGCGCUCGCUUUGGGAGCGAGAUGUCGGGGGUUCGAAUCCAUCCAGGCGGACCA